RNAcentral lists this ribosomal RNA (429 nucleotides) under Chloroflexota bacterium. RNAcentral's name for it is "Chloroflexi bacterium partial 16S ribosomal RNA". It matches the Rfam family "Bacterial small subunit ribosomal RNA", at positions 355 to 776 of the family's 1533-position model. The record is from RNAcentral. Lineage: Bacteria; Bacillati; Chloroflexota.
UGGGGAAUAUUGCACAAUGGGCGCAAGCCUGAUGCAGCCAUGCCGCUUGUAUGAAGAAGGCCUUCGGGUUGUAAAGUACUUUCAGCGGGGAGGAAGGGAGUAAAGUUAAUACCUUUGCUCAUUGACGUUACCGACAGAAGAAGCACCGGCUAACUCCGUGCCAGCAGCCGCGGUAAUACGGAGGGUGCAAGCGUUAAUCGGAAUUACUGGGCGUAAAGCGCACGCAGGCGGUUGAUUGAGUCAGAUGUGAAAUCCCCGGGCUUAACCCGGGAAUUGCAUCUGAUACUGGUCAGCUAGAGUCUUGUAGAGGGGGGUAGAAUUCCAUGUGUAGCGGUGAAAUGCGUAGAGAUGUGGAGGAAUACCGGUGGCGAAGGCGGCCCCCUGGACAAAGACUGACGCUCAGGUGCGAAAGCGUGGGGAGCAAACAGG